Ictalurus punctatus (channel catfish) is the source of this 509-nucleotide long non-coding RNA. NCBI's taxonomy places the organism in Eukaryota, Metazoa, Chordata, Actinopteri, Siluriformes, Ictaluridae. The record is from Ensembl.
CUUAAUUAUUUAGUAUAAAUGAAGGCAAGUGUGUGUUCUGUUCAUCUUUGCAAUCGUGUGUUCCCUGAUAGUCAAUGAUUGCUGGAGCUCUGGAAAUAGCAGGUGAGAUUGCAGGCCGGAGUCCCAUUGCUGUCCAGGGAACCAAAGUCAACCUCCUCUACUCCUGAGACCACAGUGUGACUGAGAGCCUAGACUACAUGGAGAACGAGAAACUCUGACAUGAGUACAUCCUGACCAUUGGUACUGUGUACACAUCAACAUACACACACGUCUCCAUGCUGGACAUCUCGGGGAGCUUUCACACAGUGCUAGGAAUAUCCCGGGACAGAGAAACGCACCUCCUAAAAAUGAUAUUUCGAGGCAGCUUCUUCAUCACUACCUGCUCCAUUUGACUCAAAAAUGCAACGACCGGUUUCAAAAAGUCACGAUGUCUUCAGUUCAUGUGAUUUUACUGUUGAAUUUAAACAGGAAAUGUGAAAUAUUUUUGUUCCUUUGUUUCCUCUACUGUC